ACAAGCCUGUGAUGAGACAAGUUAUCCCUGUCUGAAGAUCAUGUUGAGUUCUUGUAAUCUGAGGCUUGU
Small nucleolar RNA from Myxocyprinus asiaticus (Chinese sucker), 69 nucleotides. RefSeq annotates it as small nucleolar RNA R38. The transcript has a single exon. NCBI's taxonomy places the organism in Eukaryota, Metazoa, Chordata, Actinopteri, Cypriniformes, Catostomidae. The record is from RefSeq and is a predicted model, not a curated record.